This is a long non-coding RNA of Musa acuminata AAA Group (dessert banana), 1259 nucleotides long. RefSeq lists it as uncharacterized. The record is from RefSeq and is a predicted model, not a curated record. The transcript has 2 exons. NCBI's taxonomy places the organism in Eukaryota, Viridiplantae, Streptophyta, Magnoliopsida, Zingiberales, Musaceae.
GCUUCAAUGUCCCCCAGUCUCGGCUGCUCCUCUUCUUUCUCCUAUUGUGAACCCGGCUGCUACAUGUCCCCCAGUUUGGGCUGCUCCUCUUUCUCCUACUGUGAACCCGGCAUUCUUUGGAUCGAUGCUUCAAUGGCCCCAAGUUUCGUCUGCGGCUACUGUGAACCCGGCUGCUCCAUGUCCCCUAGUUUCGGCCGUUGCUCGUUCUCCUCCUACUGUGAACCCGGCUGCUACAUGUCCCCCAUUUUGGGCUGCUCCUCUUUCUCCUACUGUGAACCCGGCAUUCUUUGGAUCGAUGCUUCAAUGGCCCCAAGUUUCGUCUGCGGCUCCUCUUUCCCCUCUUAGUGCAAACCCGGCUACUCCAUGUCCCCUAGUUUCGGCCGUUGCUCGUUCUCCUCCUACUGUGAACCCGGCUGCUACAUGUCCCCCAGUUUGGGCUGCUCCUCUUUCUCCUACUGUGAACCCGGCAUUCUUUGGAUCGAUGCUUCAAUGGCCCUCAGUUUCGUCUGCGGCUCCUCUUUCCCCUCCUACUGUGAACCCGGCUGCUCCAUGCCCCCCGGUUUCGGCUGCUCCUCUUACUGUGAACCCGGGUUUCUUUGUAUCGAUGCUUCCUACUGUGAACCCGGCUUUCCUCGGGUCGGAAACGACGUCUGCUGGAGCGGCUGAGAUGUGGCCAAAUCCUGGAAUUGGGGCGCGGUGGGGAGUUGAAGAGCAGCCGAGCAAAGGGGAAGAUUCUGUGCAGCAGGGAGAAGCGAGCAACGAGAAGAAGGAUAGGGCGAAGCCGGAAACAGAUCGGGAGACACAGCGUGAUACAGAAACGGGGCAGAGCAGGAGCCGGGAAGUGGAGAGGGACGAAACGCCGCGGGAGAGACGUAGGGAGGAGAGCGACGGGGGAAGGCGAGAAGAUGCCCGAAAGGGAUCGGCACGGCGCUGGGUACAGGCAUGCCGACCGUCACAGUCAUCGGGUUGGUCUGCAGCAGGGAGAAGGUAGCCAUGGGAAGAAGGAUGACGAGAAGAUGCCCGAAAGGGAUCGGGAACCCUCUCACCCUCAGCAAAGUGAGACAAUCCUUCCACCGGAAAACAAGAUUGGUCAGACGGACAUGACGGAGUGGAGAUGGUGAUCCUGAAACACACUAGUUUUGCUGUUAUAACACUGUACAGACUGAGGUUAAUAACAUACUGGAAAAUUACUGGAAGAUUGUGAAGACAUUACCCCUCUUUCUUAUCCCUCUAUCUUGGCCAGCUAGCAUGUCACUUCA